Molecule: long non-coding RNA, 635 nt
Filed under: Homo sapiens (human)
Lineage: Eukaryota; Metazoa; Chordata; Mammalia; Primates; Hominidae
Description: long non-coding RNA NONHSAT176449.1
Source: RNAcentral
CCCGAACCACUCAGGGUCCUGUGGACAGCUCACCUAGUGGCAAUGGCUCCAGGCUCCCGGACGUCCCUGCUCCUGGCUUUUGCCCUGCUCUGCCUGCCCUGGCUUCAAGAGGCUGGUGCCGUCCAAACCGUUCCCUUAUCCAGGCUUUUUGACCACGCUAUGCUCCAAGCCCAUCGCGCGCACCAGCUGGCCAUUGACACCUACCAGGAGUUUAAACCUAUAUCCCAAAGGACCAGAAGUAUUCAUUCCUGCAUGACUCCCAGACCUCCUUCUGCUUCUCAGACUCUAUUCCGACACCCUCCAACAUGGAGGAAACGCAACAGAAAUCCAGGCUGGAAGACGGCAGCCGCCGGACUGGGCAGAUCCUCAAGCAGACCUACAGCAAGUUUGACACAAACUCGCACAACCAUGACGCACUGCUCAAGAACUACGGGCUGCUCUACUGCUUCAGGAAGGACAUGGACAAGGUCGAGACAUUCCUGCGCAUGGUGCAGUGCCGCUCUGUGGAGGGCAGCUGUGGCUUCUAGGUGCCCGAGUAGCAUCCUGUGACCCCUCCCCAGUGCCUCUCCUGGCCCUGAAGGUGCCACUCCAGUGCCCACCAGCCUUGUCCUAAUAAAAUUAAGUUGUAUCAUUUC